Molecule: ribosomal RNA, 465 nt
Filed under: uncultured Klebsiella sp.
Lineage: Bacteria; Pseudomonadati; Pseudomonadota; Gammaproteobacteria; Enterobacterales; Enterobacteriaceae
Description: bacterial SSU rRNA
Rfam family: Bacterial small subunit ribosomal RNA
Source: RNAcentral
CCUACGGGAGGCAGCAGUGGGGAAUAUUGCACAAUGGGCGCAAGCCUGAUGCAGCCAUGCCGCGUGUGUGAAGAAGGCCUUCGGGUUGUAAAGCACUUUCAGCGGGGAGGAAGGCGUUAAGGUUAAUAACCUUGGCGAUUGACGUUACCCGCAGAAGAAGCACCGGCUAACUCCGUGCCAGCAGCCGCGGUAAUACGGAGGAUGCAAGCGUUAAUCGGAAUUACUGGGCGUAAAGCGCACACAGGCGGUCUGUCAAGUCGGAUGUGAAAUCCCCGGGCUCAACCUGGGAACUGCAUUCGAAACUGGCAGGCUAGAGUCUUGUAGAGGGGGGUAGAAUUCCAGGUGUAGCGGUGAAAUGCGUAGAGAUCUGGAGGAAUACCGGUGGCGAAGGCGGCCCCCUGGACAAAGACUGACGCUCAGGUGCGAAAGCGUGGGGAGCAAACAGGAUUAGAUACCCUUGUAGUC